UGAGGUCGUAUUUUCUU
RNAcentral lists this microRNA (17 nucleotides) under Corchorus capsularis. Its description in RNAcentral is "sRNA CCACVL1_26147". The record is from RNAcentral. Lineage: Eukaryota; Viridiplantae; Streptophyta; Magnoliopsida; Malvales; Malvaceae.